CUGACGCUUAAUGACGAAAUCGAU
RNAcentral lists this small nuclear RNA (24 nucleotides) under Arabidopsis thaliana (thale cress). Its description in RNAcentral is "snRNA_07715". Lineage: Eukaryota; Viridiplantae; Streptophyta; Magnoliopsida; Brassicales; Brassicaceae. The record is from RNAcentral.